AGAGUUUGAUCAUGGCUCAGAACGAACGCUGGCGGCGCGUUUAAGCAUGCAAGUCGAGCGGCAAGGGCCUUCGGGCCCUAGAGCGGCGGACGGGUGAGUAACACGUGGACAAUCUGCCCCCCGGCCCGGGAUAGCCCAGGGAAACCUGGAUUAAUACCGGAUGAGACGGGACCCGCGAUGGCGGGAUCCGGGAAAGGCGCUGCGGCGCCGCCGGGGGAUGAGUCUGCGUCCCAUUAGCUAGACGGCGGGGUAACGGCCCACCGUGGCGACGAUGGGUAGCCGGCCUGAGAGGGUGGACGGCCACAUUGGAACUGAGACACGGUCCAGACUCCUACGGGAGGCAGCAGCUAAGAAUCUUCCGCAAUGGGCGAAAGCCUGACGGAGCCGACGCCGCGUGAACGAAGAAGGCCGUGAGGUUGUAAAGUUCUUUUCGGGAGGGGAACAACCGUGGCAGGGAAUGGCCGCGGGAUGACGUGAAUCCCGGAAUAAGCCCCGGCUAACUACGUGCCAGCCGCAGC
This 518-nucleotide ribosomal RNA is filed under the name uncultured bacterium. Its description in RNAcentral is "bacterial SSU rRNA". It matches the Rfam family "Bacterial small subunit ribosomal RNA", at positions 8 to 518 of the family's 1533-position model. The record is from RNAcentral.